AAAAUAAUUCAGCGUUAUGCUUUCUCUGCCUGUUGCUGGAAAAUGAGGCCACAAAUAAGUUUAACAGACUUGAACUCUGCAACCUUUUGGAAAUAUACAUUUAAGUACAGCAAAACCAUUCACGAGCUGGUAGUUUCCCAUCUGCACCACUGCAAUUCAGUCUAUGUGGGACUGACAUUGGGUCUGGUUUGGAAGCUGCAGCUAGUGCAGAAUGCCACAGUGACCCUUUGUGCAGGGGUAGCUCACCAUCAACAUAUAACAUGGGAGUCAAAAGCUAUGAACUGGCUGCUGAUACAUUACUGAACCACUUUUGAAGUACUUGUUUUGACAUAUAAAGUCCUAGUUUGUGCCUUUGUCAUUUUCGUGUGAGCUGCUUGGACAUCUUUGCUGCUGCAAGUUGCGACAUGGCAUCAUGAAUAGGGUAAAAGAAAAACAGAUGUAAAGUUGUCUGUUUUGGCACACCACUGCUAGAGAACGCCAAAGUAACCUGUGUUGAAGCAGGGGUCCCAGUUCCACUCCCUGCCCUCCCAAUAGAUAACAUCAACAUAAGUAAUGGAAUGAACAAUUAAUGCUAUAAAUGCAGGUGCGGGCAGCAUCCCUGUUCUUGCUCAAGAUAAGAGGAGACACAAGGUGUCUCCCCCACCCCCACUAUAUGUUUAGUUAGGGAGUUGAUCUCUAACUAAACCUCCCUGCUCCCAAACUAAGUCAGGAUCAGAUUCAGGGUGCAGUUUAUGAGUGUUCUGCAGGUUGAUCUAGGGAUGGACUGCAGCUGUGUCCCAGGUCACAGAGGCUGUGCACAGCCCCAUUUUUUAAAAAUGACCAUUGUAGAUGGUUGUAAACUGUUUAGAGGUCUUCUUUCAGGUAAGUCACAUUUGUAUAUUUUUUAAAAAAAUCAAUAACUGACUAAUAAAUAAGGGCUAAUCACUCAAGCAUUUGACCAAGUCAGGCAUCCCCAACCUUUGGCCCUCCAGAUGUUUUGGCCUACAACUCUCAUGAUCCCUAGCUAACAGGACCAGUGUCAGGGAUGAUGGGAAUUGUAGUCCAAAACAUCUGGAGGGCCGAAGGUUGGGGGUGCCUGGACUAAGUGAUGUUCUUUGCCUGUUUGAUGCUGGGCCAUAUAGUCUUGUUGUUGCUUUUUAAAUUUAAGUUGUUUUAAAAUGAAUUAUUAGGGACACGGGUGGCGCUGUGGGUUAAACCACAGAGCCUAGGACUUGCUGAUCAGAAGGUCAGCGGUUCAAAUCCCUGCGACAGGGUGAGCUCCUGUUGCUUGGUCCUUGCUCCUGCCAACCUAACAGUUCGAAAGCACGUCAAAGUGCAAGUAGAUAAAUAGGUUCUGCUCCGGCGGGAAGGUAAACGGCAUUUCCAUGUGCUGCUCUGGUUUGCCAGAAGUGGCUUAGUCAUGCUGGCCACAUGACCUGGAAACUGUACACCAGCUCCCUCAACCAAUAAAGCGAGAUGAGCGCCACAACCCCAGAGUCGGCCAUGACUGGACCUAAUGGUCAGGGGUCCCUUUACCUUUACCUAAAUGAAUUAUUGUUUUAAUGUACCAUAUUUCAAUGUUUUCACUCACUUUGAGGUUUUGUGAACAGCUAAGAGCAGUAUGCAUAUACAUAAUUCAAACAAACAAACAAUGUAUAUUUUUGAUAAAGAAAUUGAUUGGGCAUGCAGAUCCAUCGUCCCAAACUUGCAGAAUCCUCACAGGGUACUGUCUGUUGUUUUGUUUGGAUUUAAAUAAGUUUUUCAAAGAAGUGCAUUGGUUUAAAUGGUGCUGAAAUGUAGGGAUGGACAGAUCUCAGCCCCUCUCAGCUUUACAUUUACAUUUUAGGAAUUCAUUCAGACAGAGAACUCUUAAGUGAUUGUGGUAGAUUAAAUCAUCUUUCCUUAUGUGUAACAAGAAUGAUAGCUUUUGUCCUCAUGUGUUGUGAUAAGGGCCAUUAUGUUAAUUACAAUGACUGACAUGUUACUGGAUAUGAAAUCAAGGAUCGUGAUGAUGGUUGAAGAACACUUCUUUAAAAAAGAUGAAAGGGGGGGAUGUCUUAGAGUGAUGUGAUACUGCUUCACCCAUUACAAGUCUUCCUCAGAAGUGUCACUUGCAACUGGAGACAGAAUACUGAGCUAGUAAACAUAUGCUAAAAGCUUAGGUUUCUUUUUUCCCCUGGCGAAAAAUUUCAAUGGACAGAAAUUAAUUUCCUAUUUAAGGUUUAAUUAAAGAAAUGAGGAAAUUACAGCUUUAAUGUACAGCGUAGCCACCUUAGGAACCUCAGGAAACCUUUACAAAUCUAUAUAUGUGUAUUUGUUUAUUUAAUAGAUCAACUUCACCGCCCUACCAAUUUAGAUGUUUGUGAAUUACAACUGCUGCAAUUAUCCCAAAAGGCAAUUUUAAGAGACUGCAGAUAAUCUACAAUGAAUAUCUCCAAACUUUUCCUCCACCACAAAAAGGCUGCUUAAAGGAAUCUUGUUCAAAUUCCCUAAAAUAUUGCAUGUGCCCUAAUGUUAAAAAGUGUGUCUGUACUGAGUCUAAACUUGCUGUUUUUGACACUAGCAAAGAUGACCCAGAUUAUAGUGUAUGUUGACUAAGGAUAUCCCAAUUUCUUGCCCUUGGGUUCUGUGAUUUUUAAUUAUAAUCUGAAAAGCAUGACCUUGAAACAUUUAUACAUAGAUUAUACAUACAUUUCUAGCUUUUAUUUCUAUACAGCUCAAAGAAACAACACAACAGAUAUAUAAUCCCUGAGAAAUACCUUAGGGAAAUAGGGCUGUGUGUGUUUUUGGUGGUGAUAUCUGUGAGCUGCCUCAGCAUGGUAGAUAAUUUACAUUCGCUGACAGUCCAGGGGAACUGGACACAAUGUCUUUCUCUCUUUUGACAACAAAAUACAAAUAAAAUGGUGGCCAGACCCAAAUUACAGAGUUUUUAGAUCAAUAAUUCUCUAGCGCACGUCAACUGCAGUAAUUACCUUGCCUGCUAAUUGCAUUAAGGAAAGGUCCUUUUCUCAGAAACAAAUUACUUGCACACACAGAUUGGAAUUAUAGGUAUUUAUUAUCCACCACGCAACCAACAUGUUUGCAGUUCGGUUGUAAACUGGGAAUUUAAUCUGAUCAGAAAUGGAGCAGAUGAGAAAGAUGCAGAUUUACCCAAAAUAAUAACAUAUAAAAGAUCUGCCUAUCACACAUGGUUCUGUACUUCCAAGAUGAAACUUUUCAAUGUGAAAUGGCUGGCUUUCUGUAUCUUUCUUAUUUACAUGGAUUAGAAAGUUGUGGUGGGGUGAAUUUUGAUUUGAAUUGUGAACAGAGGUCAGAAAUGACAAGGCAGAGACCAUGAGCUGGGUGAAACUAGGGUCACUUCAUUUUAACAAAAGGAGAUUUGAAUGGGAAAAGACUGGGCUGAAAACUAUUAUUGUGGUUCAAGGACCCAAUCCCUGCUUGGUGGAAUGAAGACACACGGACAUGUAAUAUAAGGUUAAUGGGCAAGAAAAGGCCACAACUUUAUUGAUUACAGCAAGUGAAAGGUAUUGGCUUAGGCAUUGGAUCUCUAAAACACGUGGGUUUAUUCACCAGUAGGUGGAGCCUGUUGAUGCUAAUCCAACUAUAAGCUCUCCCCUGAUGUCACCGAGGGUUGUGCCAUGGCCCCCUGCCACACAGGCAUCGGACAGGAUACACGACUGCCGGAUUCCUUUAACGGAAUACCCAAAAAUUGAAGGUGUAGGCGAUGGUCACACAUAGCCCUUCCACACACCACAAAGACAUUAUUCCAAUGCCUAACUUACCCACCAAUACCAUGAAAGUUGUGACGGUUGCUACGAGGUAGGCGAAAAAACCACAAAGCCUAAUGCCAAAUGGAAAAAUUCCUACCAGGCCCCCUGGACAACCUGGGCGACCAACCUAAGGUCCAUAGCAAGGCCAAGAGAAAAACUGAAACCCUGAGCUCUAAGGGAGUGGAGGGUGGGUGACUCGCGAUGGGACAGCGAAAAGUGAGGCCACGUGGCUGGCACAGCAGCAAGUUAAGCUGCUGUCCACGCCCCUUCCAAGCCACCUGGUUGGGCACUUGCUCGUGGGCGUGGUGUGCCAGCCAGGUGAGUGGGUGGCAGGGGGCCAAUGCCCCCUGCUUGAGGUGGAGAUCGGAUCCCGCCCACAACCCCUCUCCUCUUGCAGGAGGAGAGUCUUUCUCUAAAAGGCUACUGAGCCUGGUGUUAUUGGGCAAGCCUAGCCUGCCUGGUGGAGAUGUGGUAAUAAUACCAUGCCCUCCCUCAGAUCGCACCUCUUUGGGGGAUGUGGGAGGGCUUUCUGCCCACCGAGUGGCCCACAUCUGUAAGAAGGGGAUACAAGUUACCCUGCCAAUGGGUCCCCAAAUCUCAAGACUCACCUGCGAAAAGUUCCCCAGGGUGUUCAUCUGUUCUUCCUUCUUAGUACCUUUCAUACAUAUCCCUGCCAAAAUGACCAAUAAAACAAAAAAAAUCAACCUAUUGAAUUUACUGGUACCCCACUAAUUGCUCCUCUACUGGUCAACAGUACAAAGUAAGUGCAAAACUGAUAUGAGACCAACUAUCUAUCUCCUACUCUGCUUCAUUAGGUGACCAACUCUGCCUUUCAAGGAGGAUGGGAUAGCUGCUACCCAAGCACUGAAGAAUCAAGAACUGGACAAUAUCCGCUUAAACAACUUGGCUUGGCUCUGUCCAUCACUGAUGCUGAUGUGACACACGCCCACACAUUGCAUCCUUGUCUUCCCCCUUCUUGACCCAAUCCCACAGACAAACAAGUCUCAGUUUGGACACCAGAAGAGCAAGGUGGAGGGACAGCAUUCUGUGCUUUGAUUAUUUUAUUUUAGCCUUAGAGAAGGAAUACUUCCAACUAUGCUUGAUUUGCUAAGAGGGGAAGGUUGCUAUUUUCCCCCCCAACAGUUAUUGGGUCAAUAGAAGAUUUCUCUACCUCUUUGCUUCUUGUCUUGGCUGAUUGUACAUGAUACUACUCAUUUACCAUGAAGUAAAUUCAACUGAGUUUAUGUG
Podarcis lilfordi (Lilford's wall lizard) is the source of this 4997-nucleotide non-coding RNA. The record is from the annotation of a GenBank genome assembly. NCBI's taxonomy places the organism in Eukaryota, Metazoa, Chordata, Lepidosauria, Squamata, Lacertidae.